Long non-coding RNA from Pieris brassicae (large cabbage white), 341 nucleotides. RefSeq lists it as uncharacterized. Lineage: Eukaryota; Metazoa; Arthropoda; Insecta; Lepidoptera; Pieridae. The record is from RefSeq and is a predicted model, not a curated record. The transcript is spliced from 3 exons.
GUCGCGCAUCAAGCUGCUGACGACGAGGAUGUCGGACCUCCGCAAGGCGUACCACUCCGUCAAGGCCGAGUUGGCGGCCAUCAAUCGCCGAAGAAAAAAAUUGAGACGCAAAGAGAGAGAGGCCGUGAAAGCCGCCAAGGCGGCGUGCUCGUGACGGGAGCGGCCUCUCCCCGCCUCGUUCGCUGUGCAAUGACUAAAAUGAGAGAUGCGGCCUUCGUUCGCGGGUGCGUCGGGUGCCGGAUGCAGUACGAUGGUAUAUGGACGGACAUGUAUAUAGUUGUGUUUAAAUGAUGUAUGACUCGAUGUUAUAGAAUUUUACUUAAUAAAGCGUUUGCACAAUA